CUCAAAUUCAGGUAGA
RNAcentral lists this ribosomal RNA (16 nucleotides) under Leucopaxillus alboalutaceus. RNAcentral describes it as "partial 28S ribosomal RNA". Lineage: Eukaryota; Fungi; Basidiomycota; Agaricomycetes; Agaricales; Tricholomataceae. The record is from RNAcentral.